Non-coding RNA from Acanthosepion pharaonis, 99 nucleotides. The record is from the annotation of a GenBank genome assembly. Lineage: Eukaryota; Metazoa; Mollusca; Cephalopoda; Sepiida; Sepiidae.
GUUGAAACACCAAUUCCCAUAUGAUCACUGAAGUCAAGCAAUCUCAAGCUUCAUCAGUACCUACAUGGGUGACCACUUGGGGAUACCAGGUGCUGUAAG